This is a long non-coding RNA of Drosophila pseudoobscura, 2112 nucleotides long. RefSeq lists it as uncharacterized. NCBI's taxonomy places the organism in Eukaryota, Metazoa, Arthropoda, Insecta, Diptera, Drosophilidae. The record is from RefSeq and is a predicted model, not a curated record. The transcript is spliced from 6 exons.
UUUCUCAGGUGGUGGUUUUGCUAAAAAAUUUUAAUCGAAUUUUUCGUAAUAUGUCGUCCAGUCGUAGUUAACUAAUUUAAUAAGAAUUAAAAGUACGCUCUUAUAUAUACAUAUACAUAUAUAUAUAUGGAUGCAUAUAUUAUAUCUACGGCAGACAACGACAACAAGUACAUUUUCUACGUCGCGCAUUCGCGUACGAGCCAAAUAUUGAAUAUUCCGAUCAUCCGAAAAUGCUGAUUGAUGCUAUGGACAAAAAAUGUCCCCAUUGUCAUGCGCUCAAAUGCAAACAUUACUCAGAUGAGCCCAUUUCGCCUCAGGGGCAGGACACAGUUACCAUUUCCCGAAUCCCAGACUGCCUCACUGCCAUUCUCGUGUCGCAUUCUCGUGUCAAUAUUUUCUAUCGAGAGUCGUCUGUUGGCUGGAGGGUACAGAGCAGUAUGAAAACAAACAUGCCUAAAAUAACAAAUUAGCAUAGACCAGUGGGACUGCCAGAGAGUGAUGGCAGAGGACGCACCGAUAUUGAAUGAUGUGCGAACAAGUUGUAAUUAUUUCGCAUUAAGCCAAGGAACCAAACCGAAAGGAAUGGAGCACAGUGGUGAUGCUGAAGCCAUGGCCAUUGGAAGACCCCAAAGAUGUCAAAGAUGGAUGCAGCUCUGGCAAACAGAAACCGAGACCGAGUUAAAUAAUGACCUUAAAGAUUGGGUUGAAUACAUUCUGUAAGGAAUUAAUGAAUGAAUGAAGUAUUCUCAAGGCAAAAGAUACGCAAAUAAACUGAUUUGUCAUAUGAAAUAUCGAAAGAAAUUAUCCUUAAAUUGAACCAAAAACCAGGUCAUUAAGGGACUUGAUGGAAAUGAUUAUGUGAAAGUUCCACCACCCUCUAGGCUGGCAUUUUCUUUUAUCUGGGGGAGAAAUCAAGCUGCUGCCUGCUGCUGUUGCUGCCACAUUUUGUUGCAUUUAAUUAAGCAAAUGCUACCAGUUGAUGUUGAUGUUGAAGUUUCCCACGUUACGCACUCGUAUUCGUAUUCCGAAAAGCAGCCUACCACCUACCGCCUACCAAAAAGUCGUUAGUGGAAUGUUGCGCCCCCCUCCCGUGCGUCUCGAUUUACAGAUACUUCCGCAUUCUGUCACCGGAAAGGUAAAUCACAAGCUGACCACGCAACAAGCGGAAUUUUUCAUAAGUAUUUUCCAACAUUUUUACCUUUUUUGGGGGUUAAAAUGUGGAAUUGGAAAAACGGCGCAGCAACAACCCCCAAAAGGAGGUAGCCACCGCGAGGUAGCGACUCCUCCCCAAGCAAACAUUUAAUUGCAUUCGAUAUGCGCUUUAGGUAAGUAGCUCACGGUCCAGAUCAUUUGAUAAAAAAAAGCUGCUGCUGCUGAUAAUGCUGUUAGAGAUGAUGUUGAUGAUGGUGGUGGUGUGGUGGUGGUGGUGUAAGACUCAUCAUCUCUCCUCCUUCGUGGACUCGUCAUCGUUAUAAUCAACAUUUAUGGCCGCUGAUUGUUUUCGCGACUGACCAGAGAAGGGGUAGGAUCGCGUUUCGAUGUUGGGGUGGUAUAUGGUUGGCUUGGGUAUCUCAAGAAAGAUAGAUCGUAGACCCUCUCUCAAAAAGCGUAGUCUGAGAUUUGUGUGACUCAUAACGAGUUUCGUUUCGACCCGCUUGGACCUUAAGUGGAUAGCGGAACGUAUUGUUGUAGCGCCACCCUGAUCCGUUGCCUGCCACAGCUGCCGCAUUGUUCGCUCUUGGACAGUCCAGUCUUCAGUCCUUCUCAAUCCCUUACUCUUUCCAUAAUCCUGUUUCCAGAGAGGACUUCGCAGGGCCUUCGGUUACGGCGGCUUAUCAGAAGGCCAGGCCAGGAAAACGAGAGUUUAAAUCGAUGAGCGAGUAUCUUAUUAAAGCACCCGGAGGGAUGUCAUCGAAAGAGGGCUCUUACGAUCAAAGAUCUUAUGCCCUCUAUGGCUAAAUAUACAUACGAAAUAUGGUAAAUAGGAAGAUCUUUCCCUCAAGGAUGUUCUGGACCCUGGAUUUUCUAAGCAAAUAUUGAAAGUAGUUUACAUAAUUUCACCGAGAAUGUUGACUGUUUACCAACCGCGUACUUCAUACACUUUUGCACUGC